AAGUCAAUAGCUAACGAGGGGGCAUAGCUGAGAGGUGAACCCAGAGUAGAUCAACCCAGCCACCCAGGUCCCCCAAAGGUAUGGCCUGAGUUCACCUCCCACCUCUCUGCUUCCGGCACUCCCAGGUCCCUGACCAUCUGUGCGCGGUAGAGGCCAGUCGGAAUCCUUACCUGGGGGAAACUGAAAGGCCAUUGGCCUAGAUUUUCCUAAGGCCCGCCUAUGCCCCCGGCUGAUUGGCAGGGUGGCUGUGACCGUCAGCUUGCUGAUCAUUGGCCCAGGGAAAUCUAUUGACCUCCACCGCGCGCCACUUUAACCGCAGCAGGAGAGUCCAGACUGUCAGGACAGAUCAACUCCCUGGAGAACAGAGAUAAAAAUGGAAGGAUAAAACGAGAGCUUGAGUCAGAAAGUUGGCAAAUCCAGUUACAGGAAAGCGUAGAUGCAUGCUGGCCGCUGUCAAUGUGUCCGUCGGCAGCCUGCCUGGCAAGCUGAGGGCGUCCACCUUGCAGAGCAUCCGCACCAGGUGUGGAGUUCUACCCAUUGGGAGCUUCUUUAACAGGAUGGCUGCCUGGGGGAGAAAAAGGUAUUCUGUCCUUAUGUCCUCCCCCAAUGGCAUUACCAGUGACGAUUAAGCACUGAGUGCUCCUGUUUGAAAUAUUCAAGAAAGCUUUAUGGGAGCUGGCCAGUCCGCACCUAACCAGCCGGUUACAUUCCAAAGGUGUUUUGAUAGUUGUGUGAACUGGGAAUCAAAAUCUGUUUUCUUAUAGCAACGAUGUUAUCAAGGCCAAGGUGGUUUUGCAAGCUAGCCCACAAAUAUCUGUUCAAUUCGCAAUGAAUAAUUAUAGAACUACGUGAAUAA
Molecule: long non-coding RNA, 856 nt
Organism: Panthera uncia (snow leopard)
Lineage: Eukaryota; Metazoa; Chordata; Mammalia; Carnivora; Felidae
Exons: 2
Source: RefSeq, a predicted model, not a curated record